RNAcentral lists this long non-coding RNA (395 nucleotides) under Ictidomys tridecemlineatus (thirteen-lined ground squirrel). RNAcentral describes it as "lncRNA (ENSSTOG00000034805.1)". The record is from RNAcentral. Lineage: Eukaryota; Metazoa; Chordata; Mammalia; Rodentia; Sciuridae.
AAAUAGUUAAACCUGAAGGUCACUUCACAGCAGCGUUCCUACAUGCUCCCCCAGCGAGGCUGCCCGGCAACAAUAAAACAAAGCCUUUGCAACCACCUGUAAUAAUCUGCCUGCUCAGCCAGCAAUCCGAAAAGUCCUGGAGCUACACAAGGCUACAGGAGAAUCAUUCACAAUGAACUAUUUGUCCAAUCAUCCUAUCAGUAAAUGAGACAAAUGAAGACAAAUGGAAGGAGAAUAUACUAAGACUUGUCAAGGGAUUUGUCUAUACUGUACUAAGUGAGCACAACUCAGGGGAUGGUUGUGAGAUGAUUAGGAACCUGCUGAUUCCCUAGCUGAGCUUUGUUCUAAGUGCCUCUCAUGGUGUGGACUUCACAGUGUUUAUUCGUGUAGUUUCA